This 489-nucleotide ribosomal RNA is filed under the name uncultured bacterium. RNAcentral's name for it is "partial 16S ribosomal RNA". It matches the Rfam family "Bacterial small subunit ribosomal RNA", at positions 30 to 507 of the family's 1533-position model. The record is from RNAcentral.
UUGAACGCUGGCGGCAGGCCUAACACAUGCCAGUCGAACGGUAACAGGAAGCAGCUUGCUGCUUCGCUGACGAGUGGCGGACGGGUGAGUAAUGUCUGGGAAACUGCCUGAUGGAGGGGGAUAACUACUGGAAACGGUAGCUAAUACCGCAUAACGUCGCAAGACCAAAGAGGGGGACCUUAGGGCCUCUUGCCAUCGGAUGUGCCCAGAUGGGAUUAGCUAGUAGGUGGGGUAACGGCUCACCUAGGCGACGAUCCCUAGCUGGUCUGAGAGGAUGACCAGCCACACUGGAACUGAGACACGGUCCAGACUCCUACGGGAGGCAGCAGUGGGGAAUAUUGCACAAUGGGCGCAAGCCUGAUGCAGCCAUGCCGCGUGUAUGAAGAAGGCCUUCGGAUUGUAAAGUACUUUCAGCGGGGAGGAAGGGAGUAAAGUUAAUACCUUUGCUCAUUGACGUUACCCGCAGAAGAAGCACCGGCUAACUCCGUG